This 274-nucleotide ribosomal RNA is filed under the name uncultured bacterium. RNAcentral's name for it is "partial 16S ribosomal RNA". It matches the Rfam family "Bacterial small subunit ribosomal RNA", at positions 523 to 796 of the family's 1533-position model. The record is from RNAcentral.
AUACGGAGGGGGCAAGCGUUGUUCGGAAUUACUGGGCGUAAAGCGCGCGUAGGCGGCUAAUUAAGUCAAAUGUGAAAUCUCCGAGCUUAACUUGGGAAUUGCAUUCGAUACUGGUUAGCUAGAGUGUGGGAGAGGAUGGUAGAAUUCCAGGUGUAGCGGUGAAAUGCGUAGAGAUCUGGAGGAAUACCGAUGGCGAAGGCAGCCAUCUGGCCUAACACUGACGCUGAGGUGCGAAAGCAUGGGGAGCAAACAGGAGUAGAAACCCCAGUAGUCC